Molecule: long non-coding RNA, 595 nt
Organism: Suricata suricatta (meerkat)
Lineage: Eukaryota; Metazoa; Chordata; Mammalia; Carnivora; Herpestidae
Exons: 4
Source: RefSeq, a predicted model, not a curated record
CCCACCUUUACAAGAGUUUCUUACUUCUCUUUCUCUCUCUCUUUCUUUAGGUGAGAUAAGGAGUCUAGAGGGGGUUGCAGGUGGUCAGAAAUAUGAGGGAUUUGUCUUGGCUGUUCACCAUGGAGAUCUGGCAGAGUUUCUGGAGUUAGAACCCAUGAAAAUUGAUCUGUGUGCUUUGAGUGAAGCUGACUCCUCUACUUCCUCCACAUGUGACUUUUAACUGGCCAAUCAGAGUCAUAAGUUUUCUGGGACAUACUGAUUUGUUCCUGUGAUCCCACUGGAGCCAAUGGGAUGUGAAAGGAAAUACAUUGUAUAGCUAUGGGAUCAUUAUGCUUAACCAACUGAGCCACCCAGAUGCCCCUGCUAUGGGAUCAUUAUGGCAUUAUGGGAUCAAAAGGGAGGAGCUUCAUGACAAUCACCCUAACACAGAGGAAGAUAGAUUACUGAAGAAAGGUCAUGUGAGGACAGAAUAAGAAGUUGGCCAUCUGCAAGCCAGGAAGAGAGACCUCACCAUGAACCAAAUCAGGCUGCACUUUGAUCUUGGACUUUCCAUCAUCCAGAACUGUGAAAAAUAAAUCUCUAUUGUUUAAUCCAC